AUCGCUUCUCGGCCUUUUGGCUAAGAUCAAGUGUAGUAUCUGUUCUUAUCAGUAUUAUACUUGGGCUUACCUCGCGGGCAGUGACAGCGAUCGCCUCUUGGAGGUUUCCUGGCUCACAAUUACUCCUGUGUUGUGAGCCCUCAACCCUUGAGAGGUAAAGGAAUUGCACUUUUUAAGGUAAGACGU
Danio rerio (zebrafish) is the source of this 186-nucleotide small nuclear RNA. Its record names the gene U2. It matches the Rfam family "U2 spliceosomal RNA". Rfam says of the family: U2 is a small nuclear RNA (snRNA) component of the spliceosome (involved in pre-mRNA splicing). Complementary binding between U2 snRNA (in an area lying towards the 5' end but 3' to hairpin I) and the branchpoint sequence (BPS) of the intron results the bulging out of an unpaired adenosine, on the BPS, which initiates a nucleophilic attack at the intronic 5' splice site, thus starting the first of two transesterification reactions that mediate splicing. Lineage: Eukaryota; Metazoa; Chordata; Actinopteri; Cypriniformes; Danionidae. The record is from Ensembl.